GUCGAGAAUCUUCCGCAAUGCGCGAAAGCGUGACGGAGCGACACCGCGUGAUGGAUGAAGUCCUUCGGGGCGUAAACAUCUUUUAUAAAGGAGGAAAUUUUUGACGUUACUUUAUGAAUAAGGGGCUCCCAAUCUCGUGCCAGCAGGAGCGGUAAUACGAGAGCCUCAAGCGUUAUCCGGAAUCAUUGGGCGUCAAGGGUGCGUAGGUGGUUUGAUUAGUCUCCCGUUAAAACUUCGAGCUUAACUCGAAAAGAGCGGGGGAAACGGUCAAACUAGAGUAUGUGAGAGGUGUGUGGAACUCAUGGUGUAGGGGUGAAAUCCGUUGAUAUCAUGGGGAACACCAAAAGCGAAGGCAGCACACUGGCACAUCACUGACACUGAGGCACGAAACCUAAGGUAGCGAAUGGGAUUAGAAACCCGGGUAGUCC
RNAcentral lists this ribosomal RNA (428 nucleotides) under uncultured bacterium. Its description in RNAcentral is "bacterial SSU rRNA". It matches the Rfam family "Bacterial small subunit ribosomal RNA", at positions 354 to 796 of the family's 1533-position model. The record is from RNAcentral.